UAAGAUUGUCUACUUUGGAUGCUA
RNAcentral lists this non-coding RNA (24 nucleotides) under Arabidopsis thaliana (thale cress). The record is from RNAcentral. Lineage: Eukaryota; Viridiplantae; Streptophyta; Magnoliopsida; Brassicales; Brassicaceae.